Molecule: ribosomal RNA, 2904 nt
Filed under: Escherichia coli
Lineage: Bacteria; Pseudomonadati; Pseudomonadota; Gammaproteobacteria; Enterobacterales; Enterobacteriaceae
Description: 23S ribosomal RNA
Rfam family: Bacterial large subunit ribosomal RNA
Source: RNAcentral
GGUUAAGCGACUAAGCGUACACGGUGGAUGCCCUGGCAGUCAGAGGCGAUGAAGGACGUGCUAAUCUGCGAUAAGCGUCGGUAAGGUGAUAUGAACCGUUAUAACCGGCGAUUUCCGAAUGGGGAAACCCAGUGUGAUUCGUCACACUAUCAUUAACUGAAUCCAUAGGUUAAUGAGGCGAACCGGGGGAACUGAAACAUCUAAGUACCCCGAGGAAAAGAAAUCAACCGAGAUUCCCCCAGUAGCGGCGAGCGAACGGGGAGGAGCCCAGAGCCUGAAUCAGUGUGUGUGUUAGUGGAAGCGUCUGGAAAGGCGCGCGAUACAGGGUGACAGCCCCGUACACAAAAAUGCACAUGCUGUGAGCUCGAUGAGUAGGGCGGGACACGUGGUAUCCUGUCUGAAUAUGGGGGGACCAUCCUCCAAGGCUAAAUACUCCUGACUGACCGAUAGUGAACCAGUACCGUGAGGGAAAGGCGAAAAGAACCCCGGCGAGGGGAGUGAAAAAGAACCUGAAACCGUGUACGUACAAGCAGUGGGAGCACGCUUAGGCGUGUGACUGCGUACCUUUUGUAUAAUGGGUCAGCGACUUAUAUUCUGUAGCAAGGUUAACCGAAUAGGGGAGCCGAAGGGAAACCGAGUCUUAACUGGGCGUUAAGUUGCAGGGUAUAGACCCGAAACCCGGUGAUCUAGCCAUGGGCAGGUUGAAGGUUGGGUAACACUAACUGGAGGACCGAACCGACUAAUGUUGAAAAAUUAGCGGAUGACUUGUGGCUGGGGGUGAAAGGCCAAUCAAACCGGGAGAUAGCUGGUUCUCCCCGAAAGCUAUUUAGGUAGCGCCUCGUGAAUUCAUCUCCGGGGGUAGAGCACUGUUUCGGCAAGGGGGUCAUCCCGACUUACCAACCCGAUGCAAACUGCGAAUACCGGAGAAUGUUAUCACGGGAGACACACGGCGGGUGCUAACGUCCGUCGUGAAGAGGGAAACAACCCAGACCGCCAGCUAAGGUCCCAAAGUCAUGGUUAAGUGGGAAACGAUGUGGGAAGGCCCAGACAGCCAGGAUGUUGGCUUAGAAGCAGCCAUCAUUUAAAGAAAGCGUAAUAGCUCACUGGUCGAGUCGGCCUGCGCGGAAGAUGUAACGGGGCUAAACCAUGCACCGAAGCUGCGGCAGCGACGCUGAUGCGUUGUUGGGUAGGGGAGCGUUCUGUAAGCCUGCGAAGGUGUGCUGUGAGGCAUGCUGGAGGUAUCAGAAGUGCGAAUGCUGACAUAAGUAACGAUAAAGCGGGUGAAAAGCCCGCUCGCCGGAAGACCAAGGGUUCCUGUCCAACGUUAAUCGGGGCAGGGUGAGUCGACCCCUAAGGCGAGGCCGAAAGGCGUAGUCGAUGGGAAACAGGUUAAUAUUCCUGUACUUGGUGUUACUGCGAAGGGGGGACGGAGAAGGCUAUGUUGGCCGGGCGACGGUUGUCCCGGUUUAAGCGUGUAGGCUGGUUUUCCAGGCAAAUCCGGAAAAUCAAGGCUGAGGCGUGAUGACGAGGCACUACGGUGCUGAAGCAACAAAUGCCCUGCUUCCAGGAAAAGCCUCUAAGCAUCAGGUAACAUCAAAUCGUACCCCAAACCGACACAGGUGGUCAGGUAGAGAAUACCAAGGCGCUUGAGAGAACUCGGGUGAAGGAACUAGGCAAAAUGGUGCCGUAACUUCGGGAGAAGGCACGCUGAUAUGUAGGUGAAGUCCCUCGCGGAUGGAGCUGAAAUCAGUCGAAGAUACCAGCUGGCUGCAACUGUUUAUUAAAAACACAGCACUGUGCAAACACGAAAGUGGACGUAUACGGUGUGACGCCUGCCCGGUGCCGGAAGGUUAAUUGAUGGGGUCAGCGCAAGCGAAGCUCUUGAUCGAAGCCCCGGUAAACGGCGGCCGUAACUAUAACGGUCCUAAGGUAGCGAAAUUCCUUGUCGGGUAAGUUCCGACCUGCACGAAUGGCGUAAUGAUGGCCAGGCUGUCUCCACCCGAGACUCAGUGAAAUUGAACUCGCUGUGAAGAUGCAGUGUACCCGCGGCAAGACGGAAAGACCCCGUGAACCUUUACUAUAGCUUGACACUGAACAUUGAGCCUUGAUGUGUAGGAUAGGUGGGAGGCUUUGAAGUGUGGACGCCAGUCUGCAUGGAGCCGACCUUGAAAUACCACCCUUUAAUGUUUGAUGUUCUAACGUUGACCCGUGAUCCGGGUUGCGGACAGUGUCUGGUGGGUAGUUUGACUGGGGCGGUCUCCUCCUAAAGAGUAACGGAGGAGCACGAAGGUUGGCUAAUCCUGGUCGGACAUCAGGAGGUUAGUGCAAUGGCAUAAGCCAGCUUGACUGCGAGCGUGACGGCGCGAGCAGGUGCGAAAGCAGGUCAUAGUGAUCCGGUGGUUCUGAAUGGAAGGGCCAUCGCUCAACGGAUAAAAGGUACUCCGGGGAUAACAGGCUGAUACCGCCCAAGAGUUCAUAUCGACGGCGGUGUUUGGCACCUCGAUGUCGGCUCAUCACAUCCUGGGGCUGAAGUAGGUCCCAAGGGUAUGGCUGUUCGCCAUUUAAAGUGGUACGCGAGCUGGGUUUAGAACGUCGUGAGACAGUUCGGUCCCUAUCUGCCGUGGGCGCUGGAGAAUUGAGGGGGGCUGCUCCUAGUACGAGAGGACCGGAGUGGACGCAUCACUGGUGUUCGGGUUGUCAUGCCAAUGGCACUGCCCGGUAGCUAAAUGCGGAAGAGAUAAGUGCUGAAAGCAUCUAAGCACGAAACUUGCCCCGAGAUGAGUUCUCCCUGACUCCUUGAGAGUCCUGAAGGAACGUUGAAGACGACGACGUUGAUAGGCCGGGUGUGUAAGCGCAGCGAUGCGUUGAGCUAACCGGUACUAAUGAACCGUGAGGCUUAACCUU